AUGCCUGGAUCUUUGAAUGACAUCAAUGUUGUCAACCGGUCACCACUGAUGAAUAAGAUUGCAAACGGUGAGUUGCCACCGGUGCAGUUUAUAGCAAAUGGCCGUACGUACAACUAUGGCUAUUAUCUAGUGGAUGGCAUCUAUCCAAAGUGGCAAAUCUUCGUGAAGCCGUUGAAAAAGCCGGAAGGUAAGAAAAAUCUUGAUUUCCACAAUGCUCAGGCGGCGGCUAGAAAAGAUAUGGAGAGAGCAUUUGAGAUUUUGCAAGCCCAAUUUGCUAUUGUGAGAGGACCGACUAGAUUUUGGGAUCAAAAAAUGCUUUGGUACAUCAUGCACGCUUGUGUGAUCAUGCACAACAUGAUCAUCGAGAAUGAGCGUGGACAAGAUUUAGACUACUCAUAG
Molecule: ribosomal RNA, 399 nt
Filed under: Triticum aestivum (bread wheat)
Lineage: Eukaryota; Viridiplantae; Streptophyta; Magnoliopsida; Poales; Poaceae
Description: partial small subunit ribosomal RNA
Source: RNAcentral